This 46-nucleotide non-coding RNA is filed under the name Trichobilharzia regenti. The record is from RNAcentral. Lineage: Eukaryota; Metazoa; Platyhelminthes; Trematoda; Strigeidida; Schistosomatidae.
CCGCUGCUGAAGAGUCCCAAACUAGGAUGAAACAGCUGUCCAGUAC